This 314-nucleotide unclassified non-coding RNA is filed under the name Trichosporon sp. Its description in RNAcentral is "partial contains 5.8S ribosomal RNA, internal transcribed spacer 2, and large subunit ribosomal RNA". The stretch from base 1 to 52 matches the Rfam family "5.8S ribosomal RNA", at positions 103 to 154 of the family's 154-position model. Lineage: Eukaryota; Fungi; Basidiomycota; Tremellomycetes; Trichosporonales; Trichosporonaceae. The record is from RNAcentral. RNAcentral also lists the same sequence under 3 other names.
AACGCACCUUGCGCUCCUUGGUAUUCCGAGGAGCAUGCCUGUUUGAGUGUCAUGAAACUCUCACCCUCUAGCUUUCUUAAUCGUGGCUAGCGGCGUGGACGUGAGCGCUGCUGCUUUGUUGCGGCUCGCUCGAAAUGUAUUAGCAGACCCUUUUCGUAAUCGGUUCCACUCAACGUGAUAAGUAUUUCGUUGAGGACAGUUGCAGCAAUGCGGCUGGCCGGGAUAAGAAAGGCAUAGUUGUCAGCUUCUAAUCGCCCUCGGGCAAUUUUUUAUGAUCUGGCCUCAAAUCAGGUAGGACUACCCGCUGAACUUAA